GCUGGGCGUGGUGGUGCGCGCCUGUAGUCUCAGCUGCUCGGGAGGCUGAGACAGGAGAAUCGCUUGAACCCAGGAGGCAGAGGUUGCAGUGAGCUGAGAUUAUGCCACUGCACUCCAGCCUGGGUGACAGAGCAAGACUCUGUCUCAA
This 148-nucleotide non-coding RNA is filed under the name Homo sapiens (human). The record is from Rfam by way of RNAcentral. Lineage: Eukaryota; Metazoa; Chordata; Mammalia; Primates; Hominidae.